CUCUGGGCAAUAUGAGGCAUGCUUUUUUGUUUGGUGUCGCACUGGGCCUCAUCUUGAAUAGUUUUAAUUGACCUCUGUGCAAAAAUGUGUAAAAUGGCUAAACAACAUUUGGUCAAAAUGUUUUGCUACUAAUCACAAACUAACAAUUAUUUUAUAAAAAAAUUAUUAUUGUAGAUAGUAUGAUACAGUAAAAUGCAUGGCUUGUACCAAUGAGGGUAGGAUUUUAUAUCUCUCAAAUAUAUUUUAAAUUGAAGUUACAUGCCUUUCAGAGGAAAGAGAUAUUAACUUUAAAUUUUUGAAUAGAGUUUCUGUUCUCAUAUUUAAAAAAAUAUAUGAAGUUACAAUAGAUUUGCCAUAGAAAAUCAGAUGAUCCUGUUUGUUUCUGGUUAAAGCCUACACUGUCUGUUUUAACAUAU
Molecule: long non-coding RNA, 416 nt
Filed under: Mytilus galloprovincialis (Mediterranean mussel)
Lineage: Eukaryota; Metazoa; Mollusca; Bivalvia; Mytilida; Mytilidae
Source: RNAcentral